RNAcentral lists this ribosomal RNA (253 nucleotides) under uncultured bacterium. RNAcentral describes it as "partial 16S ribosomal RNA". It matches the Rfam family "Bacterial small subunit ribosomal RNA", at positions 524 to 776 of the family's 1533-position model. The record is from RNAcentral.
UACGUAGGGGGCAAGCGUUGUCCGGAUUUACUGGGCGUAAAGAGCGUGUAGGCGGCCACGCAGGUCCGUUGUGAAAACUCGAGGCUCAACCUCGAGACGUCGGCGGAAACCAUCUGGCUAGAGUCCGGAAGAGGAGAGUGGAAUUCCUGGUGUAGCGGUGAAAUGCGCAGAUAUCAGGAAGAACACCCGUGGCGAAGGCGGCUCUCUGGGACGGUACUGACGCUGAGACGCGAAAGCGUGGGGAGCGAACAGG